RNAcentral lists this small RNA (676 nucleotides) under Pan troglodytes (chimpanzee). RNAcentral describes it as "processed transcript". Lineage: Eukaryota; Metazoa; Chordata; Mammalia; Primates; Hominidae. The record is from RNAcentral.
UCUGGCGCUUAUGUCGGCGACCUUGGGCGGCGAGGGUCCCAGUGGAGAAUCUUGGCCGUAGGGAAGUCACCUCUGGUGUCUCUCCCCGCGGUAGCACCUCGCCCAGAACCCUGAAUAUUUUCGACCGGGAUUUGAAAAGGAAACAGAAGAACUGGGCAGCCCGGCAGCCCGAGCCGACCAAGUUUGACUACCUGAAGGAGGAGGUUGGAAGUCGGAUCGCAGACCGUGUAUAUGACAUACCCAGAAAUUUCCCCCUUGCUUUGGAUCUUGGUUGUGGAAGAGGUUACAUUGCACAAUAUUUGAAUAAGGAAACUAUUGGAAAGUUUUUCCAAGCCGACAUUGCAGAAAAUGCUUUGUUUGCAUUGGGUGAAUGACCUUCCUAGAGCACUUGAGCAGAUUCAUUAUAUUUUAAAACCAGAUGGAGUGUUUAUCGGUGCAAUGUUUGGAGGCGACACACUCUAUGAACUUCGGUGUUCCUUACAGUUAGCGGAAACGGAAAGGGAAGGAGGAUUUUCUCCACACAUUUCUCCUUUCACUGCUGUCAAUGACCUGGGACAUCUGCUUGGGAGAGCUGGCUUUAAUACUCUGACUGUGGACACUGAUGAAAUUCAAGUUAACUAUCCUGGAAUGUUUGAAUUGAUGGAAGAUUUACAAGAAAAAAAGUCCAGAAUGUUGA